GCGGGGGUGGCCCAGUCAGGUCAAACAGCAUAGGGCUAAAGAACCUCUUCCCGAAGGGGUUCGUGGGUUCAAAUCCCACCCCCCGCA
Molecule: transfer RNA, 87 nt
Filed under: Candidatus Bathyarchaeota archaeon
Lineage: Archaea; Thermoproteati; Candidatus Bathyarchaeota
Description: tRNA-Phe
Rfam family: tRNA
About the family: Transfer RNA (tRNA) molecules are approximately 80 nucleotides in length. Their secondary structure includes four short double-helical elements and three loops (D, anti-codon, and T loops).
Source: RNAcentral